This 505-nucleotide ribosomal RNA is filed under the name uncultured bacterium. Its description in RNAcentral is "bacterial SSU rRNA". It matches the Rfam family "Bacterial small subunit ribosomal RNA", at positions 16 to 507 of the family's 1533-position model. The record is from RNAcentral.
AUCCUGGCUCAGGGAUGAACGCUAGCUACAGGCUUAACACAUGCAAGUCGAGGGGAAACGACAUCGAAAGCUUGCUUUUGAUGGGCGUCGACCGGCGCACGGGUGAGUAACGCGUAUCCAACCUGCCCACCACUUGGGGAUAACCUUGCGAAAGUAAGACUAAUACCCAAUGAUAUCUCUAGAAGACAUCUGAAAGGGNUUAAAGAUGUAUCGGUGAUGGAUGGGGAUGCGUCUGAUUAGCUUGUUGGCGGGGUUAACGGCCCACCAAGGCGACGAUCAGUAGGGGUUCUGAGAGGAAGGUCCCCCACAUUGGAACUGAGACACGGUCCAAACUCCUACGGGAGGCAGCAGUGAGGAAUAUUGGUCAAUGGGCGAGAGCCUGAACCAGCCAAGUAGCGUGCAGGAUGACGGCCCUAUGGGUUGUAAACUGCUUUUAUAAGGGAAUAAAGUGAGUCUCGUGAGGCUUUUGCAUGUACCUUAUGAAUAAGGACCGGCUAAUUCCGUG